This 835-nucleotide ribosomal RNA is filed under the name uncultured bacterium. Its description in RNAcentral is "bacterial SSU rRNA". It matches the Rfam family "Bacterial small subunit ribosomal RNA", at positions 27 to 857 of the family's 1533-position model. The record is from RNAcentral.
GGACGAACGCUGGCGGCGUGCUUAACACAUGCAAGUCGAACGGUGAACCACUUUGGUGGGGAUCAGUGGCGAACGGGUGAGUAACACGUGAGCAACCUGCCCCUGGCUCUGGGAUAACUCCGGGAAACCGGGGCUAAUACCGGAUAUGACACCCUUCUGCAUGGUGGGGUGUGGAAAGAUUCAUCGGCUGGGGAUGGGCUCGCGGCCUAUCAGCUUGUUGGUGGGGUAAUGGCCUACCAAGGCGACGACGGGUAGCCGGCCUGAGAGGGCGACCGGCCACACUGGGACUGAGACACGGCCCAGACUCCUACGGGAGGCAGCAGUGGGGAAUAUUGCGCAAUGGGCGAAAGCCUGACGCAGCAACGCCGCGUGGGGGAUGAAGGCUUUCGGGUCGUAAAGCUCUGUCAAUGGGAAAGAAGUGUAUUGAGGCUAAUAUCCUCGAUACUUGACGGUACCCAUAAAGGAAGCACCGGCUAACUCCGUGCCAGCAGCCGCGGUAAUACGGGGGGUGCAAGCGUUGUUCGGAAUUAUUGGGCGUAAAGCGCGUGUAGGCGGUUUGUUAAGUCUGUUGUGAAAGCCCUGGGCUCAACCCAGGAAGUGCACUGGAUACUGGCAGACUUGAAUACGGGAGAGGGUAGUGGAAUUCCUGGUGUAGGAGUGAAAUCCGUAGAUAUUAGGAGGAACACCGGUGGCGAAGGCGGCUGCCUGGACCGAUAUUGACGCUGAGACGCGAAAGCGUGGGUAGCAAACAGGAUUAGAUACCCUGGUAGUCCACGCCGUAAACGAUGAGAACUAGGUGUUGCGGGUAUUGACCCCUGCAGUGCCGCAGCUAACG